CUGUGUGGAUUAUGUUCAGCACCAGGGACAGGUGUGUUAACCUCUGUGUGGAUAUUGUUCAGCACCAAGGACAGGUAUGUUUACAA
RNAcentral lists this microRNA precursor (86 nucleotides) under Branchiostoma floridae (Florida lancelet). RNAcentral's name for it is "mir-2060 microRNA precursor family". It matches the Rfam family "mir-2060 microRNA precursor family". The record is from Rfam by way of RNAcentral. Lineage: Eukaryota; Metazoa; Chordata; Leptocardii; Amphioxiformes; Branchiostomatidae.